GCAUACAAGAUGAAAGUGAGAGAUCUUAUGUGGGAAACUUUAUCAAGAAAAAUGUUGGUUCUGGUCAAAAGGGAUAACAAGGACUUGCCUAAUCCUAUGGGUUCAGAUCCAAUUCAAAAAAAAAAUCAAAAGAAAAAGAAAAAAAAGAAGAAAAAUCAAAAUCAAAAUAAAAAUAAAAAAUGAUAUAAAAAGAGGGAAAAAAGAAAGAGAAAAAGAAAAUGAGAGGUCAAGGCGACAACCCGCA
This 244-nucleotide long non-coding RNA is filed under the name Gossypium raimondii (Peruvian cotton). RNAcentral describes it as "long non-coding RNA (GRAI_LNC001156)". The record is from RNAcentral. Lineage: Eukaryota; Viridiplantae; Streptophyta; Magnoliopsida; Malvales; Malvaceae.